Molecule: ribosomal RNA, 483 nt
Filed under: uncultured bacterium
Lineage: Bacteria
Description: partial 16S ribosomal RNA
Rfam family: Bacterial small subunit ribosomal RNA
Source: RNAcentral
AUUGAACGCUGGCGGCAGGCCUAACACAUGCAAGUCGAGCGGAUGAAGGGAGCUUGCUCCUGGAUUCAGCGGCGGACGGGUGAGUAAUGCCUAGGAAUCUGCCUGGUAGUGGGGGAUAACGUCCGGAAACGGGCGCUAAUACCGCAUACGUCCUGAGGGAGAAAGUGGGGGAUCUUCGGACCUCACGCUAUCAGAUGAGCCUAGGUCGGAUUAGCUAGUUGGUGGGGUAAAGGCCUACCAAGGCGACGAUCCGUAACUGGUCUGAGAGGAUGAUCAGUCACACGGGAACUGAGAAACGGUCCAGACCCCUACGGGAGGCAGCAGGGGGGAAUAUGGGACAAUGGGCGAAAGCCUGAUCCAGCCAUGCCGCGUGUGUGAAGAAGGUCUGCGGAUUGUAAAGCACUUUAAGUUGGGAGGAAGGGCAGUAAGUUAAUACCUUGCUGUUUGGACGUUACCAACAGAAUAAGCACCGGCUAACUUCGG